RNAcentral lists this long non-coding RNA (1502 nucleotides) under Oryzias javanicus (javanese ricefish). Its description in RNAcentral is "lncRNA (ENSOJAG00000008995.1)". The record is from RNAcentral. Lineage: Eukaryota; Metazoa; Chordata; Actinopteri; Beloniformes; Adrianichthyidae.
AUGUACACCGAAGAAGGCACCUCCUUCCUGGACUCCGCUUCCUGCAGGGGGCCACAGUGUAUGCAUGAGGUGAGCAACCUCAAGCCAUUGCAUCCAGCUCUCACCUCCACUCCCCUUUGCUCCUUCAAACACCCCUGCAGAAGAGAGAAUAACUGCGUGCACUGCAGCCAGACCAGCAGGUCUGUCUCAGUACCCUACACGGCUGCAGACAAGUCAAAUCGGAGCUCAGAAGGGGCCGCUGUUUGCAGGACCCCAACGCCAACUCAAGACCAGAUCCAGGCACUGCUCAGGGGUGCUCCAAUAACACCAACACCCCUGAAGAUCAAUGAGCUACAAAAUGAGGCGGAGCAGGUCUCAGAGUGUUCAGGCAGGAUGAUGAAUUUGAUGAUGGACGAAAACAUAAAUGAAGACGGUCAGAAGUCCAGCAGUUCCUCACAGGUUCUGAGGGAGAAUCAGCUGCUGCAGGUUGAGAGAGGCUCGGCACAUCUCUGUGAGGAGCUGGACUGCUUUCCUCUGGAUGGGCUGGUGGGGGUGUGGUGGUGCGAGCAACCUGUCACCCGUUUGGACUGUUCCUUGGCUCACCAGAAGUCAGAGGGCUCAGGAGAGGGUGGAGAUCAGCUGGGAGGAGCCACAGUCAGCCUGCACAGCAGAAGAAAAGAAAAGGUGAGCCCACCUGUCCGACUGAAUGAUGUAGCUCACCUGUGAGAUCAGCUGAGAUGAUACUCCAAUCAGGAGUUCUCUCUUCUUCCUCUCAAACGGAAUUUCUGCAGCCUCGUGCGAUUCGAUUAAUUGAUUUCUUGAGCAGUUUGAAACUUGCACUUUAUUCCUUUCAUGAAACUUUUACAGGUGUUCUUGCUUAUUUAGUAAUUUAUUAGUCACUAUGUUUAUUUGAAAUAACAUUGUGUACAAUUUAACUUAUUUUUUUGAUGAUUAAUUUCUUGAGAAGCACGAAGCAUUCCAGUAAUUUGUGUGUUGUUGUUGAAUCAAAUACGGUAACACAGUUUCUUUCUUGUGGAAAACUCAGAAAUUUCUAACUGUUGCAGUUUGCAUCAGAAUUGAUCAGUUUUACACUUUUGACCAAGAACCAGACAUGAGACACAAAUAACCUUUUAUCACAGGCUGAACUCUGUGUUACUUUGCUGCCUUGUGUUUUAUUUUUCGUGUGUUUGAACUGCAGAACUGCACAUGAGAUUAUUUUAUCUUUGACUGACAGGAUGCUGUGAGAAUAAAUUACUGGGUUAAAUGUUUUAAAUUAAACUGUCAGAAAUAAAUUGUUAGCAGUAAACUUGUCGAAAUUAAGUGACAUAAUAAACUUGUCUGGUCAUGUCAUGAUUUGGACCCUGGUUCUUUGAUUUGUUUUCUUUAUUUGAUUUGAGGUUUGAUUUUUUUUUUUUUGUGAGUGUAUAUCCUUUUAGUAGCUAUCAGCUGUUUGCAUUGGUGUCUGUGUUUAAGGAGCUGUUCUUCUUUAUGUUUUGUUUUUUUUUUUUUUGUAAAAAAAAAAG